RNAcentral lists this ribosomal RNA (2672 nucleotides) under Klebsiella pneumoniae. RNAcentral's name for it is "partial 23S ribosomal RNA". It matches the Rfam family "Bacterial large subunit ribosomal RNA". Lineage: Bacteria; Pseudomonadati; Pseudomonadota; Gammaproteobacteria; Enterobacterales; Enterobacteriaceae. The record is from RNAcentral.
CACUAUCGUUAACUGAAUACAUAGGUUAACGAGGCGAACCGGGGGAACUGAAACAUCUAAGUACCCCGAGGAAAAGAAAUCAACCGAGAUUCCCCCAGUAGCGGCGAGCGAACGGGGAGCAGCCCAGAGUCUGAAUCAGCUUGUGUGUUAGUGGAACGGUCUGGAAAGUCCGACGGUACAGGGUGAUAGUCCCGUACACCAAAAUGCACAGGUUGUGAACUCGAAGAGUAGGGCGGGACACGUGGUAUCCUGUCUGAAUAUGGGGGGACCAUCCUCCAAGGCUAAAUACUCCUGACUGACCGAUAGUGAACCAGUACCGUGAGGGAAAGGCGAAAAGAACCCCGGCGAGGGGAGUGAAAAAGAACCUGAAACCGUGUACGUACAAGCAGUGGGAGCACCUUCGGGUGUGACUGCGUACCUUUUGUAUAAUGGGUCAGCGACUUAUAUUCUGUAGCAAGGUUAACCGUAUAGGGGAGCCGCAGGGAAACCGAGUCUUAACUGGGCGUUAAGUUGCAGGGUAUAGACCCGAAACCCGGUGAUCUAGCCAUGGGCAGGUUGAAGGUUGGGUAACACUAACUGGAGGACCGAACCGACUAAUGUUGAAAAAUUAGCGGAUGACUUGUGGCUGGGGGUGAAAGGCCAAUCAAACCGGGAGAUAGCUGGUUCUCCCCGAAAGCUAUUUAGGUAGCGCCUCGUGAACUCAUCUUCGGGGGUAGAGCACUGUUUCGGCUAGGGGGUCAUCCCGACUUACCAACCCGAUGCAAACUACGAAUACCGAAGAAUGUUAUCACGGGAGACACACGGCGGGUGCUAACGUCCGUCGUGAAGAGGGAAACAACCCAGACCGCCAGCUAAGGUCCCAAAGUCAUGGUUAAGUGGGAAACGAUGUGGGAAGGCACAGACAGCCAGGAUGUUGGCUUAGAAGCAGCCAUCAUUUAAAGAAAGCGUAAUAGCUCACUGGUCGAGUCGGCCUGCGCGGAAGAUGUAACGGGGCUAAACCAUGCACCGAAGCUGCGGCAGCGACACUAUGUGUUGUUGGGUAGGGGAGCGUUCUGUAAGCCUGCGAAGGUGACCUGUGAGGGUUGCUGGAGGUAUCAGAAGUGCGAAUGCUGACAUAAGUAACGAUAAAGCGGGUGAAAAGCCCGCUCGCCGGAAGACCAAGGGUUCCUGUCCAACGUUAAUCGGGGCAGGGUGAGUCGACCCCUAAGGCGAGGCCGAAAGGCGUAGUCGAUGGGAAACAGGUUAAUAUUCCUGUACUUGGUGUUACUGCGAAGGGGGGACGGAGAAGGCUAUGUUAGCCGGGCGACGGUUGUCCCGGUUUAAGCAUGUAGGCUGGUUGUCCAGGCAAAUCCGGAUAAUCAAGGCUGAGGUGUGAUGACGAGGCACUACGGUGCUGAAGUAACAAAUGCCCUGCUUCCAGGAAAAGCCUCUAAGCAUCAGGUAACAUUAAAUCGUACCCCAAACCGACACAGGUGGUCAGGUAGAGAAUACCAAGGCGCUUGAGAGAACUCGGGUGAAGGAACUAGGCAAAAUGGUGCCGUAACUUCGGGAGAAGGCACGCUGGUGUGUAGGUGAAGUCCCUGCGGAUGGAGCUGAGACCAGUCGAAGAUACCAGCUGGCUGCAACUGUUUAUUAAAAACACAGCACUGUGCAAACACGAAAGUGGACGUAUACGGUGUGACGCCUGCCCGGUGCCGGAAGGUUAAUUGAUGGGGUUAUCCGUAAGGAGAAGCUCUUGAUCGAAGCCCCGGUAAACGGCGGCCGUAACUAUAACGGUCCUAAGGUAGCGAAAUUCCUUGUCGGGUAAGUUCCGACCUGCACGAAUGGCGUAAUGAUGGCCAGGCUGUCUCCACCCGAGACUCAGUGAAAUUGAACUCGCUGUGAAGAUGCAGUGUACCCGCGGCAAGACGGAAAGACCCCGUGAACCUUUACUAUAGCUUGACACUGAACAUUGAGCCUUGAUGUGUAGGAUAGGUGGGAGGCUUUGAAGCGUGGACGCCAGUCUGCGUGGAGCCAACCUUGAAAUACCACCCUUUAAUGUUUGAUGUUCUAACGUUGGCCCCUUACCGGGGUUGCGGACAGUGUCUGGUGGGUAGUUUGACUGGGGCGGUCUCCUCCCAAAGCGUAACGGAGGAGCACGAAGGUUAGCUAAUCCUGGUCGGACAUCAGGAGGUUAGUGCAAUGGCAUAAGCUAGCUUGACUGCGAGCGUGACGGCGCGAGCAGGUGCGAAAGCAGGUCAUAGUGAUCCGGUGGUUCUGAAUGGAAGGGCCAUCGCUCAACGGAUAAAAGGUACUCCGGGGAUAACAGGCUGAUACCGCCCAAGAGUUCAUAUCGACGGCGGUGUUUGGCACCUCGAUGUCGGCUCAUCACAUCCUGGGGCUGAAGUAGGUCCCAAGGGUAUGGCUGUUCGCCAUUUAAAGUGGUACGCGAGCUGGGUUUAGAACGUCGUGAGACAGUUCGGUCCCUAUCUGCCGUGGGCGCUGGAGAAUUGAGGGGGGCUGCUCCUAGUACGAGAGGACCGGAGUGGACGCAUCACUGGUGUUCGGGUUGUCAUGCCAAUGGCACUGCCCGGUAGCUAAAUGCGGAAGAGAUAAGUGCUGAAAGCAUCUAAGCACGAAACUUGCCCCGAGAUGAGUUCUCCCUGAGACUUUAAGUCUCCUGAAGGAACGUU